CUUGGUCAUUUAGAGGAAGUAAAAGUCGUAACAAGGUUUCCGUAGGUGAACCUGCGGAAGGAUCAUUACCGAAUUGUCAACACGAGUUGUUGCUGGUCCUCAAACGGGGGCAUGUGCACGCUCUGUUUACACAUCCACUCACACCUGUGCACCCUCUGUAGUUCUGUGGUCUGAGGGGCUCUGUCCUCUCGCCGUGGUUCUAUGUCUUUACACACGCACUGUAAUAAAGUUUCAUGGAAUGCAUGACGCGUUUAACGCAAUACAAUACAACUUUCAGCAACGGAUCUCUUGGCUCUCGCAUCGAUGAAGAACGCAGCGAAAUGCGAUAAGUAAUGUGAAUUGCAGAAUUCAGUGAAUCAUCGAAUCUUUGAACGCACCCUGCGCCCUUUGGCUAUUUCAGAGGGCAUGCCUGUUUGAGUAUCAUGAACACCUCAACUCUCACGGUUCGCCGUGAUGAGCUUGGACUUUGGGGGUCUUGCUGGCCUGUGGUCGGCUCCUCUCAAAUGAAUCAGCUUGCCAGUGUUUGGUGGCAUCGCAGGUGUGAUAACUAUCUACGCUUGUGGUUUUCCACCAGGUAACCUUCAGUGAUGGAGGUUCGCUGGGGCUCACAAAUGUCUCUCCUCAGCGAGGACAGCUUCUUGAAUGUUUGAUCUCAAAUCAGGUAGGGCUACCCGCUGAACUUAAGCAUAUCAAUAAGCGGAGGA
This 704-nucleotide ribosomal RNA is filed under the name uncultured Tomentella. RNAcentral describes it as "eukaryotic LSU rRNA". The stretch from base 269 to 423 matches the Rfam family "5.8S ribosomal RNA". Lineage: Eukaryota; Fungi; Basidiomycota; Agaricomycetes; Thelephorales; Thelephoraceae. The record is from RNAcentral.